RNAcentral lists this ribosomal RNA (1184 nucleotides) under Salmonella enterica subsp. enterica serovar Senftenberg. RNAcentral describes it as "partial 23S ribosomal RNA". It matches the Rfam family "Bacterial large subunit ribosomal RNA", at positions 571 to 1756 of the family's 2925-position model. The record is from RNAcentral. Lineage: Bacteria; Pseudomonadati; Pseudomonadota; Gammaproteobacteria; Enterobacterales; Enterobacteriaceae.
CAGAGGGGGCUUAGUGGUGGGGUGACUGCGUACCUUUUGUAUAAUGGGUCAGCGACUUAUAUUCUGUAGCAAGGUUAACCGAAUAGGGGAGCCGGAGGGAAACCGAGUCUUAAUUGGGCGUUAAGUUGCAGGGUAUAGACCCGAAACCCGGUGAUCUAGCCAUGGGCAGGUUGAAGGUUGGGUAACACUAACUGGAGGACCGAACCGACUAAUGUUGAAAAAUUAGCGGAUGACCUGUGGCUGGGGGUGAAAGGCCAAUCAAACCGGGAGAUAGCUGGUUCUCCCCGAAAGCUAUUUAGGUAGCGCCUCGUGAAUUCAUCUCCGGGGGUAGAGCACUGUUUCGGCUAGGGGGCCAUCCCGGCUUACCAACCCGAUGCAAACUGCGAAUACCGGAGAAUGUUAUCACGGGAGACACACGGCGGGUGCUAACGUCCGUCGUGAAGAGGGAAACAACCCAGACCGCCAGCUAAGGUCCCAAAGUCAUGGUUAAGUGGGAAACGAUGUGGGAAGGCCCAGACAGCCAGGAUGUUGGCUUAGAAGCAGCCAUCAUUUAAAGAAAGCGUAAUAGCUCACUGGUCGAGUCGGCCUGCGCGGAAGAUGUAACGGGGCUAAACCAUGCACCGAAGCUGCGGCAGCGACGCUGAUGCGUUGUUGGGUAGGGGAGCGUUCUGUAAGCCUGUGAAGGUGGCCUGUGAGGGUUGCUGGAGGUAUCAGAAGUGCGAAUGCUGACAUAAGUAACGAUAAAGCGGGUGAAAAGCCCGCUCGCCGGAAGACCAAGGGUUCCUGUCCAACGUUAAUCGGGGCAGGGUGAGUCGACCCCUAAGGCGAGGCCGAAAGGCGUAGUCGAUGGGAAACGGGUUAAUAUUCCCGUACUUGGUGUUACUGCGAAGGGGGGACGGAGAAGGCUAUGUUGGCCGGGCGACGGUUGUCCCGGUUUAAGCGUGUAGGUGUGUGUUCCAGGUAAAUCCGGUUCACUUUAACACUGAGGCGUGACGACGAGGCACUACGGUGCUGAAGCAACAAAUGCCCUGCUUCCAGGAAAAGCCUCUAAGCAUCAGGUAACAUCAAAUCGUACCCCAAACCGACACAGGUGGUCAGGUAGAGAAUACCAAGGCGCUUGAGAGAACUCGGGUGAAGGAACUAGGCAAAAUGGUGCCGUAACUUCGGGAGAAGGCACGCUGACA